GAAGUAAAAGUCGUAACAAGGUCUCCGUUGGUGAACCAGCGGAGGGAUCAUUAGAGGGUCUACAGACCACCUACUGUUCUUAACCAUACCGCGUACCUAGCCGGAUAACAAUAUUCAUCUGCCUCGGCGGCGGCCCCAGGGGGGGCCUCUGCCCGCCAAGCCGCAACUCCGCGGUACGGCGGGCGCCGCCGGUGGCGCCUAAACUAAAAAGCAUUGUAAGUGGGUUAUACCACUGCAAAAGAACAAAACAAUGAUAAAAAAAUCAAAACCCAUUACAACCUGCAACAACGGAUCUCUUGGCUCCGGCAUCGAUGAAGAACGCAGCGAAAUGCGAUACGUAAUGCGAAUUGCAGAUCUCCAGUGAGUCAUCGAAUCUUUGAACGCACAUAGCGCCCGCCAGCUCUCUGGCGGGCAUGCCCGUCCGAGCGUCGAUUACACCGCUCGAGCGCGCCUCUCUUACCCAGGGAGGUCGUCGCUCGGUGUUGGGGCAGUAGGGGACCUUUCUCCCCCCUACGCCCCCAAAGGCAUUGCGCGGCCCUCGCAUCAGGACCCAAGCACAGUAAACUUCUCACGUUGAGCUGCUUAGGGACACCUACGCCGAGGCGCCAGCCGUAAAACCCCCAACAUAGGCUUGCU
RNAcentral lists this ribosomal RNA (636 nucleotides) under Amplistroma erinaceum. RNAcentral describes it as "eukaryotic LSU rRNA". The stretch from base 277 to 431 matches the Rfam family "5.8S ribosomal RNA". The record is from RNAcentral. Lineage: Eukaryota; Fungi; Ascomycota; Sordariomycetes; Amplistromataceae.